RNAcentral lists this ribosomal RNA (587 nucleotides) under uncultured Glomus. Its description in RNAcentral is "bacterial SSU rRNA". It matches the Rfam family "Eukaryotic small subunit ribosomal RNA", at positions 549 to 1098 of the family's 1831-position model. The record is from RNAcentral. Lineage: Eukaryota; Fungi; Glomeromycota; Glomeromycetes; Glomerales; Glomeraceae.
UGGAGGGCAAGUCUGGUGCCAGCAGCCGCGGUAAUUCCAGCUCCAAUAGCUUAUAUUAAAGUUGUUGCAGUUAAAAAGCUCGUAGUUGAAUUUCGGGAUUUGUCAGUUGGUCGGGCUUCACUGUCCGUAUUAACUUGAUGGAUUCUUACCUUCUGAAUAACCAGCAUGCUAUUACAGUUUUUCCAAGAUAAAAGUUCUCAAUGUGGUGGUAAGUUAGUGCGUUGGGGAAGCAUAUCUAUUACCUUGAAAAAAUUAGAGUGCUUAAAGCGAGCUAGUGCUUGAAUAGAUUAGCAUGGAAUAAUAAAAUAGGACGGCAUGGUUCUAUUUUGUUGGUUUCUAGGAUCACCGUAAUGAUUAAUAGGGAUAGUUGGGGGCAUUAGUAUUCAAUUGUCAGAGGUGAAAUUCUUGGAUUUAUUGAAGACUAACUUCUGCGAAAGCAUUUUCCAAGGAUUUUUUCAUUAAUCAAGAACGAAAGUUAGGGGAUCGAAGACGAUCAGAUACCGUCGUAGUCUUAACCAUAAACUAUGCCGACUAGGAAUCGGACGAUGUUAAUUUUAUAAUGACUCGUUCGGCACCUUACGGGAAAC